Gossypium raimondii (Peruvian cotton) is the source of this 141-nucleotide non-coding RNA. The record is from Rfam. NCBI's taxonomy places the organism in Eukaryota, Viridiplantae, Streptophyta, Magnoliopsida, Malvales, Malvaceae.
UGUUAAAAAUUUUAUCUAUUUGUAUUGUUAAAAAUUAACACUGUUGAUACAAUAACCAAACAGUUAUGUUUGACGUGACAUGUGUACCUCAUGCUGAUGUAUACAGACCAAAUUUAAUAGAAAUAGAUAAAAAUUUUAACA